GACUCCUACGGGAGGCAGCAGUGGGGAAUAUUGCACAAUGGGCGCAAGCCUGAUGCAGCAACGCCGUGUGAGUGAAGAAGGUUUUCGGAUCGUAAAACUCUGUCCUAAGGGAAGAAACAAAUGACGGUACCUUAGGAGGAAGCCCCGGCUAACUACGUGCCAGCAGCCGCGGUAAUACGUAGGGGGCAAGCGUUAUCCGGAAUCACUGGGCGUAAAGGGUGCGUAGGCGGCUUAGCAAGCCAGGGGUGAAAGGCAUUGGCUCAACCAAUGUAAGCCUUUGGAACUGUUAAGCUUGAGUGCAGGAGAGGUAAGUGGAAUUCCUAGUGUAGAGGUGAAAUUCGUAGAUAUUAGGAGGAACACCAGUGGCGAAGGCGACUUACUGGACUGUAACUGACGCUGAUGCACGAAAGCGUGGGUAGCGAACAGGAUUAGAUACCCUGGUAG
Molecule: ribosomal RNA, 444 nt
Filed under: uncultured bacterium
Lineage: Bacteria
Description: bacterial SSU rRNA
Rfam family: Bacterial small subunit ribosomal RNA
Source: RNAcentral